CCACGAGGUUUUGGGAGUGAUAGUCACUUACCUUCCUAUUUUUGUGUUUGCAGUCACACGACUUUGUUCUUGCUGAGGAUUUUUGUUUUUUGAUUCCUUUUUUGUUUUUUGACUUCCCUAAUUUUGCCUAAGCCACUUGUUUUCAAGUUUCGACCUAGCGGGAUUUUUCUCUCUUUCUUUUUUUUAGAGUUUUUUUUUGGAACAAAUCGUGUGACGUUUGUUGAUUUGGUUUGAA
Molecule: long non-coding RNA, 235 nt
Filed under: Lathyrus oleraceus (garden pea)
Lineage: Eukaryota; Viridiplantae; Streptophyta; Magnoliopsida; Fabales; Fabaceae
Description: Pisum sativum (pea) long non-coding RNA (PSAT_LNC023614)
Source: RNAcentral